This 372-nucleotide ribosomal RNA is filed under the name uncultured organism. Its description in RNAcentral is "partial 16S ribosomal RNA". It matches the Rfam family "Bacterial small subunit ribosomal RNA", at positions 527 to 896 of the family's 1533-position model. The record is from RNAcentral.
GUAGGUGGCAAGCGUUGUCCGGAAUUAUUGGGCGUAAAGCGCGCGCAGGCGGUCCUUUAAGUCUGAUGUGAAAGCCCACGGCUCAACCGUGGAGGGUCAUUGGAAACUGGGGGACUUGAGUACAGAAGAGGAAAGCGGAAUUCCAAGUGUAGCGGUGAAAUGCGUAGAGAUUUGGAGGAACACCAGUGGCGAAGGCGGCUUUCUGGUCUGUAACUGACGCUGAGGCGCGAAAGCGUGGGGAGCAAACAGGGAUUAGAUACCCUGGUAGUCCACGCAGUAAACGAUGAGUGCUAAGUGUUAGGGGGUUUCCGCCCCCCUUAGUGCUGCAGCUAACGCAUUAAGCACUCCGCCUGGGAUACGGCCGCAAGGCUG